Long non-coding RNA from Solanum pennellii, 761 nucleotides. RefSeq lists it as uncharacterized. NCBI's taxonomy places the organism in Eukaryota, Viridiplantae, Streptophyta, Magnoliopsida, Solanales, Solanaceae. The transcript has 3 exons. The record is from RefSeq and is a predicted model, not a curated record.
UUUUAUUAAUCUCUUUUUUACUCUAUGAAAUUCAUAUCUUUGAUACAUAAUUUCACAUCUGCUAACUCAUGUCUAUCUCCUUCACUUUUCACUCCUCAAAUUACGUUAUAUUUUAUCUCUCAUAAUCGUAUCAGUUUAUUUCAAGAUAUUUCUCUCUCCAAUCAAACGAUUUUUCAUUCCUUCUGUAUAGGUAUUACCCAGAUAAUGGCAUCUAACACCAAUCAUGUUUAUGACCAUGAAGACGCAAGUUGGUUUGAGAAUAGAUCAAUGAAAUUGCAUUGAUCCCCUGUAAUUGCCAACGUGAGUAUUGAGAAGGAGAGGAAGAAUGUGUCUUUUUCUUCAAAAAUGAAGGUUGAAAAAUCCCCUAAAAAGGGGUAGAAACAUGUCAUCUUCAAUUUUUCGUCCUAAUCUACCUAAGGGACUGUGGUUUGUUUGUGGCCGCGUUUGCUGAAUUCCUUAGCGCCAAUAAUAUAAUUAUUUUGUAUUUGAUUAUCUCCGUUUAAUAUAUGCAACAUAGUUAUGAAAAUAUGCAGUGAAAAGGCUGAAGCUUGAUAUGUUAGUGAUAAUGACAAUCCACUGAAGUCUAGGGGUCAUUUGACAUCAUCAGACCAUGAUGCGACAGUUUUUGUGUAUCAAUAGAUACACAAUGUUUUUUUUUGUUUUUACUAUUUUCAAGAUACGUUAAAAUAAGUGUAGGAGUAUUUCUCUAAAAUGUUAUUUUGUCUGACUUUUUAAUAUCAAUAUAUUCUAUUUCUUUAAUC